GGGAGCGGAGUGAAAUAGUACCUGAAACCGUGUGCCUACAAGCCGUGGGAGCGUCGGAUACGUGCUUGCACGUAUCUCGUGACUGCGUGCCUUUUGAAGAAUGAGCCUGCGAGUUUGCGGUGUGUUGCGAGGUUAACCCGUGUGGGGAAGCCGUAGCGAAAGCGAGUCCGAAUAGGGCGUUUCAGUAGCACGCUCAAGACCCGAAGCGGAGUGAUCUAGCCAUGGGCAGGUUGAAGCGGAGGUAAGACUUCGUGGAGGACCGAACCCACCAGGGUUGAAAACCCGGGGGAUGACCUGUGGUUAGGGGUGAACGGCCAAUCACACUCCGUGAUAGCUGGUUCUCCCCGAAAUGCAUUUAGGUGCAGCGUCGUGUGUUUCUUGCCGGAGGUAGAGUACUGGAUAGGCGAUGGGCCCUACCGGGUUACUGACCUUAGCCAACCUCCGAAUGCCGGUAAGUGAGAGCGCGGCAGUGAGACUGUGGGGGAUAAGCUCCAUGGUCGAGAGGGAAACAGCCCAGAGCAUCGACUAAGGCCCCUAAGCGUACGCUAAGUGGGAAAGGAUGUGGAGUCGCACAGACAACCAGGAGGUUGGCUUAGAAGCAGCCACCCUUGAAAGAGUGCGUAAUAGCUCACUGGUCUAGUGAUUCCGCGCCGACAAUGUAGCGGGGCUCAAGCGUACCGCCGAAGUCGUGUCAUUCACACAAUAGGGCCAACGCCUGUGUGGAUGGGUAGGGGAGCGUCGUGUGCCGGGUGAAGCAGCCGCGGUAGCGAGUUGGGGACGGUUCACGAGUGAGAAUGCAGGCAUGAGUAGCGAUGCAAACGUGAGAAACGUUUGCGCCGAUUGACUAAGGGUUCCUGGGUCAAGCUGGUCUGUCCAGGGUAAGUCGGGACCUAAGGCGAGGCCGACAGGCGUAGUCGAUGGAUAACCGGUUGAUAUUCCGGUACCCGCUGUGAAGCGUCAAACAUCGAGCAUCGUGAUGCUAAGGCCGUGAAGCCGUUCCGGACCCUUCGGGGAAAGGAAAGUGGUGGAGCCGCCGAACCAAGCGGUUAGUAGGUGAGUGAUGGGGUGACGCAGGAAGGUAGUCCAUCCCGGGCGGUGGUUGUCCCGGGGUAAGGGUGUAGGACGUCAGGUAGGUAAAUCCGCCUGGCAAUAGUCUGAGACCUGAUGCCGAGCCGAUUGUGGUGAAGUGGAUGAUCCUAUGCUGUCGAGAAAAGCCUCUAGCGAGUUUCAUGGCGGCCCGUACCCUAAACCGACUCAGGUGGUCAGGUAGAGAAUACCGAGGCGUUCGGGUGAACUAUGGUUAAGGAACUCGGCAAAAUGCCCCCGUAACUUCGGGAGAAGGGGGGCCACGCUUGGUGAUCCGGUUUACACGGUGAGCUGGGGGUGGCCGCAGAGACCAGUGAGAAGCGACUGUUUACUAAAAACACAGGUCCGUGCGCAGCCGUAAGGCGAUGUAUACGGACUGACGCCUGCCCGGCGCUGGAACGUGAAGGGGACCGGUUAGCUCUGAUUCGUCAGGGCGAAGCUGAGAACUUAAGCGCCAGUAAACGGCGGUGGUAACUAUAACCAUCCUAAGGUAGCGAAAUUCCUUGUCGGGUAAGUUCCGACCUGCACGAAUGGCGUAACGACUUCUCGACUGUCUCAACCAUAGGCCCGGUGAAAUUGCACUACGAGUAAAGAUGCUCGUUUCGCGCAGCAGGACGGAAAG
Molecule: ribosomal RNA, 1708 nt
Filed under: Streptomyces sp. 46
Lineage: Bacteria; Bacillati; Actinomycetota; Actinomycetes; Kitasatosporales; Streptomycetaceae
Description: bacterial LSU rRNA
Rfam family: Bacterial large subunit ribosomal RNA
Source: RNAcentral